GGGCCCUCAGGUGGUCUGUAGGGGCUCCAAGCAGGUUUCUGUGGCCUUUUCUCACAGGGUCCAGCAGGGUGCCUUAUGAAGCAGGCAUGUGGCAAUGGUUGGUUUCUUCCUGGACACAAUGACAACAAUCACUCAUGUGGCAAACACUGCAUCGAGCUGAGGAAUCUUUCAAGUCCUUGCUCUGUGUGCACACUGACCAGAGAGUGAAAUCAAUAAAAACUUGUUCUCUCUACCCUGACUUCGAUGUUCUUCUGUUCAGUUUUGAAGGUCCCUGGACGUCACCAAAUGGGGAACCAGGGGUAGAACUCCAGAAAGAUGCAGAUGAAGCACCAGAGGUCUGAGGCUUAUGGGGUAGAGUCCUCUUGGCUUCCGUCUGCAGACCUGGAUCAGAAGAGCUUCAAGGCGAGCUCUUCCUGGAGGAGCCUCAGCUCCUUGAGUGUUCCCAGGAAUCCCGGAGGAGAUGGGGGUAGGCACCUCUGAGAGCAGUCCUGUAUGCCCACCGUACCCUGCUGUGCUGUGCACUCUUCCUGCCUGAAUUUUUAGUUUCUAGAACUUUUAAAUUGUCUUUCUUAGGAUAAUGUGUAAAGAUGAAGACUACUUAAGCUCCUCUCCAGUGUUUCAAAGUGAGAGGUAGGUAUACUGAGAACUUACAGGAAAAGAGAAAUAACGUUCUAAAAAUAAGGCAUGGUAGCACUACCACUGUUCUCCAGUAAAUGGAAUCCUGAAUCCAACGAGGACCUAACGUUGGCUCAUAUGAGACCGGGUCCGGACAUAUUGGAAUAGUUAUAAUAUUUUACUUACUUUUUUCAUUAUUAUAAGUAUCCUGUUUGUAAGUUUUAUAAUAUAUUGAAAAGUAUUAAAAAAAUCACCAUAAUCUCACCAUAAGAUAACUGUGCUUAUUUUCUGUUCUUUCAGACGUUUUCAGUGUUAUAUGUGAGCAUCUGUAUAUACACACACAUAUUUUUAUAAAAACAUUAUCUUACUUUACAUAUUGCUUUCAGAUAAUGUGUAAAACUGUGUAGAACAGUUUUUUGUAAUGUGUAAAACCAGGAGUUGGUGAUGCACAGGGAAGCCUGGUGUGCUGCAGUCCAUGGGGUCACAAAGAGGCAGACACGACUGAGCGGCUGAACUGAACUGAAAACUGUGUAAUAUGUAAAACAUAUUGCUGUCUUUUUUCUCUUAACUUACUGUUGUCAUCUUUCCUUGUGAAUAAAUAUGUCUGUUUGUACA
RNAcentral lists this long non-coding RNA (1230 nucleotides) under Bos indicus x Bos taurus (hybrid cattle). RNAcentral describes it as "lncRNA (ENSBIXG00000014431.1)". Lineage: Eukaryota; Metazoa; Chordata; Mammalia; Artiodactyla; Bovidae. The record is from RNAcentral.